This 253-nucleotide ribosomal RNA is filed under the name uncultured bacterium. Its description in RNAcentral is "partial 16S ribosomal RNA". It matches the Rfam family "Bacterial small subunit ribosomal RNA", at positions 524 to 776 of the family's 1533-position model. The record is from RNAcentral.
UACGGGGGGGGCAAGCGUUGUUCGGAAUUACUGGGCGUAAAGGGUUCGUAGGUGGCCAACUAAGUCAUACGUGAAAUCCCUCAGCUUAACUGGGGAACUGCGUCUGAUACUGGUUGGCUUGAGUGCAGGAGAGGAACGCGGAAUUCCAGGUGUAGCGGUGAAAUGCGUAGAUAUCUGGAGGAACACCGGUGGCGAAGGCGGCGUUCUGGACUGUAACUGACACUGAGGAACGAAAGCCAGGGGAGCAAACGGG